CCCAUAGAUCAGUGUGCCCCAUAGAAGCCUGGCCCCAUAGAUCAGUGUGCCCAUAGAGCCUGCCCCAUAGAUCAGUGUGCCCCAUAGAGCCUGCCCCAUAGAUCAGUGUGCCCCAUAGAUCAGUGUGCCCCAUAGAUCAGUGUGCCCCAUAGAGCCUGCCCCAUAGAUCAGUGUGCCCCAUAGAUCACACUGUGCCCCAUAGAGCCUGCCCCAUAGAGCCUGCCCCAUAGAUCACAGUGUGCCCCAUAGAGCCUGCCCCAUAGAGGCCUGCCCCAUAGAUCAGUGUGCCCCCAUAGAUCACAUUGUGCCCCAUAGAGCCUGCCCCAUAGAUCACAGUGUGCCCCAUAGAGCCUGCCCAUAGAGCCUGCCCUAGAUCACACUGCGCCCCAUAGAGCCUGCCCCAUAGAUCAGUGUGCCC
RNAcentral lists this long non-coding RNA (418 nucleotides) under Coturnix japonica (Japanese quail). RNAcentral's name for it is "lncRNA (ENSCJPG00005000626.1)". Lineage: Eukaryota; Metazoa; Chordata; Aves; Galliformes; Phasianidae. The record is from RNAcentral.